GAAAGCAUAACUUAAAGACAUUUGAAAUCGAACAGGAUUUAACAUAACUUUGGGGCCUUUUCUACACCAACUUUAAGUCUAAAAGGUCACGAUCUGUCUGCCGGCCCUCUGCAUGCCUCGACUCCUUGACCUCAGACGUGGACAUGGUUUUCUUCUUCACUCCUGUCUACUCUGCUAAGUUGCUGUACUUGGAUUGUUGUGGUCACUUAUAUUGGCUCAGGGACUUAUCUUUUUUUGGAAGAUUUCUGUUCUGGCUUGAAGCCCUUUCAGAUGAUGGAGGGCAGUCGCAUGCCGCAGCGUCUCUUAUUUCCCAUAAGACGGCAGCUGGGGGAGGAAGACGGAUACUCUCACAUGGCUAAUAAAAGUGCUGGAAAGCACUCAAUUUCCUGCUACUGAAUCUUGUGAAUGGAGGAAUCCCACUGAGGACAAGCUGCUUCGUCUGUGACUGGAAUAGGACUUACGCACAGUACAUACAUAGUUUUAUCAGUCGUCAUGCUGAGAAAGUAUUUCAUCUGAUGUGUACCCAUUAUGUGAUCCAUAUAUGGACACACUGUGAUGAAAAAUGUACUCUGUUUUUGUUUAUUCUCAGAAUAGAUCAUAUCUUGCUGGCUCUUGACUGCACGGGUAAUGUAACACUGGUGAGGACAUUUUUGAGAGCAAAGAGAUUGACAAGAGCAGAUAACACUCUACAUCACACUAUUGAUAGUGUCAUAGUUGUAGUGUGGACAUCAGCCAUGUAAAUGCUGGUAUAUUUAAUGACUAUUCAAAAUCACAGUCUGCAUUACAUGGACUGUUUUAUUCCCAUUUUUAUUCCUUGGCUUUCAACCCCGCAUGAGACUCUGCUCCUGUUUUAGUGUUUUAUGGUUUGUUUUUAUUUAUU
This is a long non-coding RNA of Notolabrus celidotus (New Zealand spotty), 880 nucleotides long. RefSeq lists it as uncharacterized. The transcript is spliced from 3 exons. The record is from RefSeq and is a predicted model, not a curated record. NCBI's taxonomy places the organism in Eukaryota, Metazoa, Chordata, Actinopteri, Labriformes, Labridae.